UUGAAGGUCUUAUUUGUUUGGCAAUAAAUUAGUGUUAAUUAAAAAUAUUUAUUCCAAUGCCAAAGUUCCAAACAGCAGGUAAAGGCGGCAGGCUAUUUGGGUGUUUUUUUAAUUUGAUUUUUGAUUUUUGAUUUUUGCAGAGAUGGGUGUUGAAGGAUUUAGCAGUUGUAAAUGGCCUGGGCUGGUUAGAUAACAGAAUUCCAAGAGGGGUGGAUCCACCAUGGAACAUGGGGGUGCAGUUGCAUCCCAAAAAAAAAAAAAAUUUUUUUACUAGUAUUAAUAUUCAUAUAUAAAUUAUUUUAGAUUUAGUUUUUGCAACCCCAAUUAAAAGUUUUAAUCCAAAAUAAAAGAGAAAUUCAGUUUUUAAAAUCCUAAAUUCCAUUGACCCAACUAAAAAGAGAGCUCACCGUCUCUUUCUUUUUCAUUCUUUUGAUCAAGCCCAUCAUUUAAUCAAUCAAUUACCUCAAUUCUUAAUUAAACAAAAAAGUUGAAAGUAUACAUUUUGCAUUUGAAAUGCAAAGUUAUUACUAUUAUAUUUGUAUUUUAGUAAAAAAAAAUGUCUAAAAUGUAUCGAAGGCCUCAAAAAAAAAAUCUCGGGGGCUACCGCCCCCGAACCCCCGUAGAAGUUCAACUCCCUCAAAAAAAUCCUAGCUCCACUAGUGUUUAUAAGAUUAUUUUUUGCAUCCCCAAUUUAAAAAUCCUGGAUCCGCCACUGUUUGAUGCAUUGAAACUUUGGGAUAUCCCAAGGCCCUUGAUUAUUUUUAUCAUUUAAGUUAAUUCUGUUUGAUUCUUAUCCCAUUCAAAGGAUGAGAUUGGAGAAAUCCUACUCUUGAGGAUAAAAAUACUCAAACAUGCAUCUUAUCAAUCAUGCAAAGUAAACACUCCCACAGAGGCGGCUUCCCGGAUAGCAAAAGAUACGAGGAAGCAAAGCUGGUUCAAUCUGCAGAAGCAGCUUCUGGAAGAAAGUUGAUAUUAUUGCAAGAUUGGUGGCUGGUCAAAGCAUGUCCAGAUUCUCAUGGCAAACGAUUAUGCAUUGGAGGCUUCACUUCAAAAGGGUAAAGUUCAGUUUCUUGCUAAUUCUUUGUACACAAUUUGCAUGAUAAAGAAGUCUGAGAAUGUUCAGAAAUAUAAAGAGGUGAAAUAAACUGUGAAUAUGAUAUUGUGGUGUGUGAAAUGUUGAUUGUAUUUUUGGUUCACAAUAAGUUCUUUAACUUCUGAGAAACUAAAGAUGUCUUUUGUUGCUUUGGGCUGAAGCAUGGGUCAUAAUAAUCUGAAAUUUAAUCAAGUUUCUAAAUUUACAGUAAGUUUUGAUUUUGUGAGAGGAUUUUGAAUACAUACCAUUGGGAAUUUGAAUUUGUGGAAUGUAUUUGAGUUUAGGUGAAUAGCUCGAAUAUUAAAGUACGGUAACGUGAAAUUUAAACAAUCAUAUAGAUUAUAUCCAAAAUUAGUUUAAUGCAACUGAAUAGAAGCUUACCAGAUGAGGCCUUGACUUUAAUCAUGGAAUGAUGGAGCUGGAAAAUGUUUGUGUGUU
This is a long non-coding RNA of Salvia miltiorrhiza (redroot sage), 1531 nucleotides long. RefSeq lists it as uncharacterized. The transcript has 3 exons. Lineage: Eukaryota; Viridiplantae; Streptophyta; Magnoliopsida; Lamiales; Lamiaceae. The record is from RefSeq and is a predicted model, not a curated record.